Long non-coding RNA from Lynx canadensis (Canada lynx), 377 nucleotides. RefSeq lists it as uncharacterized. NCBI's taxonomy places the organism in Eukaryota, Metazoa, Chordata, Mammalia, Carnivora, Felidae. The transcript has 2 exons. The record is from RefSeq and is a predicted model, not a curated record.
CUGAAAAACACCCUUUUGUGCUCAUGGGUAGGAACGGCGUUCGCCUCAACGGGGGACUCCGCCCUCUUACUGGAACCUACUCCAUUUCAGUCUCCCUUGCAUUUCGCUGUGGCCACAAAACGGAAUUCUAGUCCACAGAAUGAGAUGUUACCUGCAUCACUUUCAAGCCCGACCCAUAACAGCCUCCCACACAGCAGCUCCUUGGCUCAUCCAGCCGGCUGAGAUUGAGAGGAACUCAAGUGUUGAAGACGACAGAGCCUCCAUCAGCCUGGAUCCCUGAGUGACGACUGCCCAGAAGAAACCCGCCCUGUGAACUGUGCCCCAAUCUGAUGCUAUUAUGAGAACAUGAAAUAAAUUUAAGUUAUGGUGAGUCAUUA